UCCUAAUGUAAGCUAUCUGUCUCUGAAACUUGGAGAGACUUCUCUUCUCCAGUACAUCUUCAUCGUUGUGCUCGACAGUGCUACCGCAGCUUCAUUUUCGUUGUCCACAAGCCACGGUAGUUUCGUCAUCGUCGUGACAGCUCCUUCUCCUCUUCAUCCUUGCAAAUUCAAGCUAAAGAUCGCUUUCAGUUUCAAGUUCAAGUUCAAAGGUUCAAAGAGAAGAGAGCUUUGGCAUUGAGUUUGCCAUUUAGGCGUUGGAGAUAAGUGUCUCAUAACAAGGUAUGUUUAUAUUGCGUAAGGUGAAACCAUAUUUUCUCGGCAUUUAGUUUCGUUUUUUUUUUCUUCAACAAAUGAAUUGUUAGAAUGUAACAAGAUAUGUUACUUUCUGUUUACUUUUACUAUCGAUCUAUCCAUUUUAAACAUUAUAUUUUCAUAGAUGGAUAACAAAAAUAUCAAAUUCCCAAAGGUCUAUAAUAGUGUAAUUUAUAAAAUUGUCUACAUAAAUUCAAAUUCAUAGAGACAGUACUUUAAUUUGUGUAUACAACUGUUGUAAGAAAAUUUUAUCUAGGCGAUGCUGGAUUUAUGCUAAAGCAUGGGGUACUUACACCAUAUAGAGGUGUUCGGUAUCACCUAAAAGAGUAUUCAGUACGUGAGUCCCAAAAUCCGAAAGAACUAUUCAACCAUUGCCAUUCUUCAUUACGAAAUGUCAUCGAAAGAUGUUUCAGAGUUCUAAAGAAAAGAUUCCCAAUUAUAACUGGUGACACUGAACCUUAUUAUUCGUUUGAAACUAUGAGAGACAUUUUUUUAGCAUGUUGUAUAUUGCAUAACUUUUUAAUGGGUGUCGAUAUUGAUCAAUCUAUAAUUGAGGCGGUUGACCAAGAAUUGCUACAAGAACGCAACAUAGAUAGAUCACAAUCAAAUCAACAACGUGAUGAGGAAUAUAGAUAUGCAGCAAUGCUACGAGAUAAUAUUGCAGCUGAAAUGUGGAAUGUGUAUCAAACUUUAUAAGUGAUUAUGUGAUUAUAUGUUUCCUUUAUAUGAAUAUGUAAAUAUCUGUAUUUUACAGUCAAAAUUGUUUAAUUAGAUUUUUUUGAGGGAUUUUUUUACAGGUUAAGUAAUGCCAAAUAAAGAAAAUAAAACAACAGAAGCUAAUCAAUUUUCUAAAGACAACUUAAGAUGGUCUGAUGAGAUGAAUGAAGUUCUGCUGAAUGUAUUAGCAGAAGAAGCAUUGAAAGGUAAUAGACACGAUGGCUCGUAAACAAUUAAAGCAUAUGUUAAUGUUGUGAAGACUUUGAGCUUAGCAAUAGGCCCACACAUAACAAAGAACCACAUUAAGAAUAGAAUGAAGACAUUGAAAGUUCAUUUUGCUGAGACAUAUGACUUAUUUCAUCAUUUAAGUGGAUUUGCAUGGAAUCCUGUUACUAGAAAGUUUGAAGCUGAAGAAGAAGAGUGGCAAGACUUUAUUAAGGAGAAACCACAUGCAGAAAAAUGGAAGAAAAUGCAAAUUAAGCAUUAUGAUACUUUGAAGGAGUUGUUCGUAGCUGAUAGAGCUACUGGUAAAGGGGCUACUACUUCACGAGAAAGAAUUCAACAACUUGAUAGAGAUCACAUUGAUUUGAAUGACUCGUUUGAAAACAUUGGAUUUUCUGACAUAGAUGUUAAUAUGGGACAUGAUACCCCAACGUUUUCUGCUAAUUUAGAUUCACCAAGUGCUCUUCAUAGUCAACCAAAUCAAUUAGGUGGGACUUCAACAUCAAGAGGAAUAGAGCGUAAGUCUCCUAUGAAUGAUUUUUUGGAGGCACAAUAUGAGAAAGUUGCUUUGGAAAUUACUACCAUGGCCGAUGCUGUCAAAGAGGGUAGUUAUCUAUCUAGCAAGCUACAUGACGUAGCUCAGAGGCAGGUUGAAUCAGCUGAGAGACAAGCUUCUGUGGCUGAGAGACAAGUUUCGGUUGUCGAAAAACAAAUGUCGUUAAUUGAAAGACAAGUUGCAAUUGUUGAAAAAGGGUUAGCUAUUAUGCAACAAAGUAGGCCUCGCCUUUAUAGCGAAUCAGAUGUAUGGAAUAUGUUGACUGAAUUGGGUCUGAUUGGCUCAGCUCGAAUGCAGUGUUAUUAGUUUUUUUGUGAAAAUGAGCAGAAAAAGCGCCAAAUUUUUGGGAUCCCACCUGAAAUGCGAUUGGAUGCUCUUUUUCAUUUCAUGACAGCUACUGGUGUUCGCUUAGGAGAUAUGGUACUUCCAUAAAACAUUAACCAUUAGAGGAAUCAUAAUACUUGAAAAUGUUUGGGAACAACAAGUACACUGCUUAGUACAAGUAGCUAUCGAUCAUGUGUUAAUAUUUUUGACUCGGAGAAACUUUAUUUUUUUGAAGUAGAUGAGUACAGAUGGCUCAAGCUAUGUAGAAUUGAUUUUUUGGAAGUAGGCGAUGACGCUGACCACGAAGUAAUACCCUUUUAAAAAGUGUUAUCUGGUGAUAAAAUAGUACUCUCUAGGAGUUCUUUUGGUUAUUACUUUUUUGGCGUUUUGUUAUAUGUCUAUAAAAAUUGUAUAUGAUUUUUGGUCGCACGUACUUGAAA
Molecule: non-coding RNA, 2571 nt
Organism: Arachis ipaensis
Lineage: Eukaryota; Viridiplantae; Streptophyta; Magnoliopsida; Fabales; Fabaceae
Source: RefSeq, a predicted model, not a curated record